GAUGAACGCGGCGGCGUGCCUAAUACAUGCAAGUAGAACGCUGAAGCUUGGUGCUUGCACCGAGCGGUGAGUUGCGAACGGGUGAGUAACGCGUAGGUAACCUGCCUCUAGCGGGGGAUAACUAUUGGAAACGAUAGCUAAUACCGCAUAAAAGUCGAUAUCGCAUGAUGUUGAUUUGAAAGGUGCAAUUGCAUCACUAAGAGAUGGACCUGCGUUGUAUAGCUAGUUGGUGAGGUAACGGCUCACCAAGGCGACGAUACAUAGCCGACCUGAGAGGGUGAUCGGCCACACUGGGACUGAGACACGGCCCAGACUCCUACGGGAGGCAGCAGUAGGGAAUCUUCGGCAAUGGGGGCAACCCUGACCGAGCAACGCCGCGUGAGUGAAGAAGGUUUUCGGAUCGUAAAGCUCUGUUGUAAGAGAAGAACGAGUGUGAGAGUGGAAAGUUCACACUGUGACGGAACUACCAGAAA
RNAcentral lists this ribosomal RNA (473 nucleotides) under Streptococcus parasanguinis. RNAcentral's name for it is "bacterial SSU rRNA". It matches the Rfam family "Bacterial small subunit ribosomal RNA", at positions 28 to 489 of the family's 1533-position model. Lineage: Bacteria; Bacillati; Bacillota; Bacilli; Lactobacillales; Streptococcaceae. The record is from RNAcentral.